Molecule: ribosomal RNA, 391 nt
Filed under: Nymphicus hollandicus (cockatiel)
Lineage: Eukaryota; Metazoa; Chordata; Aves; Psittaciformes; Cacatuidae
Description: partial 12S ribosomal RNA
Rfam family: Bacterial small subunit ribosomal RNA
Source: RNAcentral
GGCCCUAAAUCUUGAUGUUUCCCAUACAAAAACAUCCGCCCGAGAACUACGAGCACAAACGCUUAAAACUCUAAGGACUUGGCGGUGCCCUAAACCCACCUAGAGGAGCCUGUUCUAUAAUCGAUAAUCCACGAUACACCCGACCACCCCUUGCCAAAACAGCCUACAUACCGCCGUCGCCAGCCCACCUUCCAUGAAAGCACAAUAGUGAGCCCAACAGCCCACAACCACUAACACGACAGGUCAAGGUAUAGCCCAUGGAGUGGAAGAAAUGGGCUACAUUCUCUAAAAUAGAUAACCUAACGAAAAGAGGCCUGAAACCUGCCUCCAGAAGGCGGAUUUAGCAGUAAAGGGGGAUAAUAAAUGCCCCCUUUAAGUCGGCUCUAGGGCA